UACGUAGGGUGCAAGCGUUGUCCGGAUUUAUUGGGCGUAAAGAGCGUGUAGGCGGUUAGGUAGGUCCGUUGUGAAAACUCGAGGCUCAACCUCGAGACGCCGAUGGAAACCAUCUGACUAGAGUCCGGAAGAGGAGAGUGGAAUUCCUGGUGUAGCGGUGAAAUGCGCAGAUAUCAGGAAGAACACCCGUGGCUAAGGCGGCUCUCUAGUACGUGACUGACGCUGAGACGCGAAAGCGUGGGGAGCGAACAGG
RNAcentral lists this ribosomal RNA (253 nucleotides) under uncultured bacterium. RNAcentral's name for it is "partial 16S ribosomal RNA". It matches the Rfam family "Bacterial small subunit ribosomal RNA", at positions 524 to 776 of the family's 1533-position model. The record is from RNAcentral.